UUUUUAAAAAACAAACGUAAUGCACAGAAGGCCAAAAAGUAAAUAAAUAAAUAGUGACAUAUGACAAUCUGGAAACAUAUUUGUAAACAUAAUAUGCUAGACAUGGAGCUAAUUUCCUCAAUAUACAGAUGUACAAUAAAUUAACAAGAAACAGA
Long non-coding RNA from Sapajus apella (tufted capuchin), 155 nucleotides. RefSeq lists it as uncharacterized. The record is from RefSeq and is a predicted model, not a curated record. Lineage: Eukaryota; Metazoa; Chordata; Mammalia; Primates; Cebidae. The transcript is spliced from 3 exons.